GCCUGGGUGGCUCAGUCGGUUAAGCACCCAACUUUGACUCGGGUCAUGAUCUCACGGUUCGUGGGUUCGAGCCCCACGUCCGGCU
Molecule: transfer RNA, 85 nt
Filed under: Felis catus (domestic cat)
Lineage: Eukaryota; Metazoa; Chordata; Mammalia; Carnivora; Felidae
Rfam family: tRNA
About the family: Transfer RNA (tRNA) molecules are approximately 80 nucleotides in length. Their secondary structure includes four short double-helical elements and three loops (D, anti-codon, and T loops).
Source: Rfam by way of RNAcentral